GAUGAAGAACGUAGCGAAAUGCGAUAAGUAAUGUGAAUUGCAGAAUUCAGUGAAUCAUCGAAUCUUUGAACGCAUCUUGCGCUCCUUGGUAUUCCUUGGAGCAUGCCUGUUUGAGUAUCAUGAGCAAAUCUCAAAGUCAAUUCCUUUUGUUAAUUCAAUUGGUUUUGCUUUGGACUUGGAGGUCUUGCAGAUUUUCACAGUCUGCUCCUCUUAAAUGCAUUAGCUGGAUCUCAGUAAUUAUGCUUGGUUCCACUCGGCGUGAUAAGUAUCACUCGCUGAGGACACUGUUAAAAAGGUGGCAAGGAAAAUACUGAUUGAACCGCUUCUAACGGUCUAUUAAGUUAGACAAUUACCCUUAAGUUUGAUCUCAAAUCAGGUAGGACUACCCGCUGAACUUAAGCAUAUCAAUAAGCGGAGGA
Molecule: unclassified non-coding RNA, 419 nt
Filed under: soil metagenome
Description: partial contains 5.8S ribosomal RNA, internal transcribed spacer 2, and large subunit ribosomal RNA
Rfam family: 5.8S ribosomal RNA (bases 1-120)
Source: RNAcentral